RNAcentral lists this ribosomal RNA (160 nucleotides) under Tectona hamiltoniana. RNAcentral describes it as "5.8S ribosomal RNA". It matches the Rfam family "5.8S ribosomal RNA". Rfam says of the family: 5.8S ribosomal RNA (5.8S rRNA) is a component of the large subunit of the eukaryotic ribosome. It is transcribed by RNA polymerase I as part of the 45S precursor that also contains 18S and 28S rRNA. Lineage: Eukaryota; Viridiplantae; Streptophyta; Magnoliopsida; Lamiales; Lamiaceae. The record is from RNAcentral.
ACGACUCUCGGCAACGGAUAUCUCGGCUCUUGCAUCGAUGAAGAACGCAGCGAAAUGCGAUACUUGGUGUGAAUUGCAGAAUCCCGUGAACCAUCGAGUCUUUGAACGCAAGUUGCGCCCGAAGCCGUCAGGCCGAGGGCACGUCUGCCUGGGCGUCACG